CCGUUGCUAGGCUUACGUUGUAGUGAUUACAGUUCCUUUAGGUCCAUAGUUAACAGCUGUUUUGUUUCUGGGUUCAAAGCCUUGGCUUCCUUCUCCUCUGGAUCUGUGGAGGAAUAUGAGCAUGGAAUGUGGCUCCUGCCUGCUGCCUUUCCCUGUAGGGCUUGUAAUAAAGGAUGUAUUAUAUAUUAUAGGAUUUCCACAGCAUCUACAUUGGGAGCGAAGGCAGCUGACUCUAGGCUGGACUAACUUCUGUGUAAGUUCGGGCAGGAUCCCCACGCAACAUUAUCUCCAGAUUUCCAUUCCUUCUUGUAUACACUGUAGCUGGUAAACCAAUAGAUGCUGUCGGUGAUCCCUUUAACUUCGAAGCUCCACAACACACAUUCUCUUUAAAGGCCAUGGCAGGUGCCACAUAAUACCUAUUUCACUUUUGUAAUAACUCAGUUGCAUAGUGUGGCAGCAGCUGCACUUUGGAACUCCCUGCCUCUUGAGAUCAAGCAGGUACCUGCCCAAAACAUUCCUGUUUAGACAAACCUACCCAGAUGCUUAGAAAGUUCAGGUAAUUUUAAUUGGUUUUAGUAUUUUAACUUUAAAGGUAAAGGUACCCCUGCCCGUACGGGCCAGUCUUGCCAGACUCUAGGGUUGUGCGCUCAUCUCACUCUAUAGGCCGGGAGCCAGCGCUGUCCGCAGACACUUCCGGGUCACGUGGCCAGCGUGACAAGCUGCAUCUGGCGAGCCAGCGCAGCACACGGAACGCCGUUUACCUUCGAACUGCUAGGUUGGCAGGCGCUGGGACCGAACGACGGGAGCGCACCCCACCGCGGGGAUUCGAACCGCCGACCAUGUGAUCGGCAAGUCCUAGGCGCUGAGGUUUUACCCACAGCGCCACCCGCAUCCCUCCAUUUUAACUUUAGUAUGUUUUAAAUUCUUCCUGAGUUUACUGUUUUUAUUUUCUGUAAUCCACUUUUAGGGAUUUUUAUUUUGGGGUGUUUUUUUUGCAAUUAAGCUGUUUAUAAAUUUUGUAAGUCAUAAUAAAUCAGUAACGAUGUUCCAGCCAUAUUUGCCCUCAACUGCUCACUUCCAUGUGAAGUCAUGGGAUGAGGUAUAGCAGGGAUAUCCAACCGGUUGAUCCAGCCGAUUGCGAGACCCUGAUGGCCCCCCCAAAAAAGCUCAACAACUUCAGUUGAUCAUCCCCCCAAAAGCUCAACAACUCUUCCCCCCAAAAAAGCUAAACAACUCUGGUCAAUCCAAUGGGGACAUCACUGCCAUUUUUUUUAUAUAUAGUGGGAGUAGAUCACAGUCUCUUAGAAGUUGGACGUGCCUGAGGUAGGGUUGCCAUAUUUUGAAAAGCAGAAAAGAGAACGCUAUGAUGGCCGUUCAAAGCAAAUACAGUGGUACCUCGGGUUACAGACGCUUCAGGUUACAGACUCUGCUAACCCAGAAAUAGUACCUCGGGUUAAGAACUUUGCUUCAGGAUGAGAACAGAAAUCACGUGGCGGCGGCAGCGGGAGGCCCCAUUAGCUAAAGUGGUACCUCAGGUUAAGAACAGACCUCCAGAACGAAUUAAGUUCUUAACCUGAGGUACCACUGUAAAUGCAAUUUGUCUCAAAUUUUACCCCUGAAAGAGAGGGUUUGUCCUGGAAAAAGAGGACACAUGGCAACCCUAGAAGGGCUCUGCCAACUGCAUCAAUUGCUGUUAACACCAGGGAGAGACUUCCUUUUUAAAGCCAUUUAUAUUUGUUUUAGGAGUGAGCUGGAGAAAGUGACUGAAGUGUGUAAUGGGCAAAUCAGAGGCUAUGCAAUGACCUACUGAAGGGAGAGGGAAGGGUUGCUUUCUAUAUGCUUUCUAUACCUUGUACCUUGUACCUAAGAAGGAUCUUCUAUAUUCUCUGUACUUUGGAUCUAAGUAAAUUUCUGAGCUAAUUUGACUUCUGCAAAAGAGGCCCCUCGCUUUCUUAUUUUAGGAAUGCAAGAUAAGAAAGACACAUAUGAAGGAGACUGUAAGCUAGAAAUAACCAGAGGCCCCUCGCUUUCUUACUUUAGGAAUGUAAGAUAAGAAAGACACAUACGAGGGAGACGGGAGGAGGGGAUGCAGGACGCUUAGAAAGACACGUAUAGGGAAAAUAGGGAGGGGGGGCUGCAUAGAGGGCUAGCAUUAUAGAUAUGCCAUGCCAUAUAAAAAAAAUAAGUUAAAAACUUUCCAGUUGAUUGGGGAAGUUUUUGGAGGGCGUUUGGGGGAGGAGGGAGGGAGCUUUCUCAAGGUAUAAGAAAGUCUGCAGAGGCGUAUUUCUGGGCAGCCAGUCUUCCAGAAGUUAUUCUGCUGGCUGUCACUGUGCACAGAGAAUAAACUGUUUUCCUCCAAAGAAGGAUCUUUCCUGGUGCUUUCUUUGCUCUCUCUCUGGAUCUGAGGACGCGGGCCAACGAUUCCCUGGCAUGGACUAGGCUCAGCCUACAUCUUGGUUCCCUGACCGGGAAUCUGCCCCACCUCAGAGGGCUGGGGAGAGCCAGGCUCGACCUUGGUGGACAGCUCGGAUCGGCAAUUGCAGGCUCCACGCGCACCCUGCCAAUUUGUGGGGGGAGCCAGCCACACCGCUCCGGAGCAAGGACCCAGGUCGAGGGAGGAAAGAGGACUGGCCAGGGAAGGGAAUCUGCAGCAGAAAACGGUAAGCCCAAGGGAAAGGGCGUGGGCGUGAGCCCAAGGGAAAAGAGGGAGGCCUGAUCAGCCUCACCUGGUUAUGCAGUAGAGUGCAGCCAGGAAGGAAAAAAAAAAAAGGGGCGUGGCAGUGGUGUGCCACCGGUAAGGUUUGGUAAAAAAAAAAAAAAAAAAAAAAAAGGGGGGGAACAGAGGGGAAAAUUAUUUUGGUGUGUUUUGUGUAUUACAUGUUGAAAUUAUUUUGGUGUGUUUUGUGUAUUGCAUGCUGAAAUUAUUUUGGUGUGUCUAGUGUGUUACAUGUUGAAAUUAUAUUGAUGUGUUUUGUAUGUUGUAUGUUGCAUGUCAGAUACUCUAGUGACUGAAUUGUCAAGUGUGGGCCAGGGCUUAGUGUCCCCCUUGGCCGAGCGAUUGUAGGGCUGUAGUGUGUGUAGAGUGAAAGAAUUUACAACCUGUUAGCAGCAGAGUAUCUGAAAAUGGGGUCUGGGGCAAGCCAAUGUAGUCCUCUGGAAUGUUUUUAAACAACUGGAAAGCAGCCACAAAGCAUGAUGAUUGGGGAAUCAAAUUGAGGCAACGGAGGAUGAGAACAUUAUGUGAGGUUGACUGGCCCUCGCAACAAACUAACUGGCCCUCGGAGGGGAGCUUCGAUUUGCAACUAAUCAACCCACUGUAUCGAAAUAUCUUGAACGUCCACCCAGACCAGAUCCCCUACAUUUCUACUUGGAAAACCAAUGUAGAAAAGAACCCAUCGUGGUUGAAAGCCUGCCGAGGCGACGCCCACAAAGUACAGUUUGUGCAGUUCGACCGACAGGGAAGUCAGAAAAGCCCCCAGUGAUACCAGACCCAGAAGAAGAGGAGGGGGAAGUCAUUAAACCACCUCCACCCUAUGCUCCACCAACUGCCCCUCCCCUGGACCCAGGCCCCCAGGCACCGGGAGGAGCUAGCCCCCAGCCUGAACCCCCCAAGGCUAAUGAAUCAGAAGAAGAAGAAGACGAUGAUGAGGAAUUUGUAAAGGGAUUGGUUGAGUUAGCAAAGAAGGGAAGAGAGUGGACUCAGUAUCAGUCUUUGAGAUUGCAACAGUAUGUACAACCCUAUGCAGAAGAAGUGGAUGUUAGCCCCACGUGUUGGCUGCAGCAGGAUGCUCCUCAACACAAGGGAAGAAAUGGCAGAGGGAAUGGAUAGAAGCAGCAACCAGGGCAGCCUUCCAUAAGUCCCAUGAGGCACAGAAAAAGGGUGGGGUCGGAGUAAUGCCCCUCCGAAGGGUUUAUGACCCACCAGGACCUCCAGGGACUAAUGGAGCAGCAGCAGAACGGACCUAUACGGUCCAGCAUAUACCCUUUUCAAGUGCAGAUGUCUGUAACUGGAGAAAUCAAAACCCAUCUUUUGAGGAAAACCCAGCGAAGAUCAUAAAGCUGUUUGAAGGGAUUUUUAAAACUUAUAAUCCCACCUUUGAUGAUGUGCAGUAUUUGAUGGAUGCGCUGCUAACCACAGAAGAAACUAGGCGAAUCCAUGCUGAAGCCCGAGCACACCUGAGAGCGCAGGGAGUGCAGGAUCCAGCUAUGGCAGCAGGAUAUCCAGAAAACACCCCGAAUUGGAAUUAUCAGACUGUUGAUGGCCAGAACAUCCUCACUACCUACCGCCAGAAUGUGUUAAAUGGUAUGAGAAGGGCAGCUAGGAAACCCACCAACUUUGUGAAGGUUAGAGAGGUAGUGCAGGGGAAUGAAGAGGCCCCAGGAGCAUAUUUAGAACGCCUGAAGGAAGCCUACCGCCAGUAUACUCCUGUGGACCCAGAUGAGGCUGCCUUUGUGGCCCAAGCGGCGCCCGAUGUCCGCCGAAAGAUUCAAAAACACGAGGGGUUCAUGGGCCACACCCUUGAGUGGAUGUUAGAACUGGCUCAAACCACUUAUAAUCAGAGGGAGGAAGAGGCACAAAAGAAAAAGGAGAAGUAUCAAGCAAAGAAGUUGAUGGCGCUACAGGCUACCGCACCCACCCCUCAGGAAAGAGGAAGUGCCCGGGGAGGAGGGCAAGGCCGUCUGGGGAGGAACCAGUGCGCCAUCUGCCGGCAGGAAGGGCACUGGAAAAGAGAAUGCCCACAAGCUCACUCAGGUGGAGGAGGACGAGGAGAGCGAAUCCCAGGCCCAAUCCCCGUGGGACCUGGACAAGAACUGAGACCUUGGACAUCUGCAAAUACAGGCAGGGGUAGAGGACGUGGACAGGGACCUCCCUGGCACCCUCCAGCCCAAAGACAGCCCGCCGCGAUGAGCCUGAGAGAGGAGGAGGAAGAAUACUAGGACAGACCGGGCCCAGCUGAUUUAGGUUCCCGUGAGCCCAUGGUCAAAAUACAAACAGGGAACCGAACCAUCCCCUUCAUGGUUGACACAGGAGCCGCCCACUCUGUUUUGCCAGUACCAGUGUCCAAGCCCACCAAGCAAACAAUUAACAUAAUAGGAGCUACAGGCAAAUCACAAAGAGCCCCCUUCUUGCAAUCUGUUGCCUGUCGCCUGGGCGGCCAAGUGGUCCAACACAAGUUUUUGUAUAUACCAGAGUGUCCCAUCCCAUUGUUGGGCCGAGACCUGCUAUCAAAAUUGCAAGCCCAGAUUUCCUUCCAACCGACAGGAGAAGUGACAAUGACUACAGGGCAAGCAGGAGAGUUCUCCUUAGAGGUACCCUUGAGGGAACACUGGCGCUUAAUGAUGGUAGAAGAAGAGGAGGGGAUUAUUCCAGAAGACCUCCUGCAAGAAGUUAACCCUGGUGUAUGGGCAGAAAGCAACCCGCCCGGAAUGGCAAAGAACAUCCCACCUAUAAUAGUCAAGCCCAAGCCAUUCGCCAACCCUGUGGCUGUGAACCAAUAUCCUAUCCCCGAAGAGCUGCGGAAGGAGUAUGGGUACAUUUGGAACGGUUACUUCGCCAUGGCAUCCUGAGGCAGUGUCAAUCUCAGUGGAACACCCCACUCUUGCCGGUGAAGAAGGAAGAUGGCUCGUACCGCCCGGUCCAAGACCUUAGAUUAGUCAACCAGGCCGUGGAGACCCUCCACCCCAAUGUGCCCAAUCCUUACACGCUGUUGAGUCUAAUACCUCCCACCGCAUGUUAUUUCACCGUAUUGGACUUGAAGGAUGCAUUCUUCUGUUGCCGCCUGGCAGAAGAAAGUCAGCCCCUGUUUGCAUUUCAAUGGACAGAUCCGGGAACAGGCACCAGGGUGCAAUACACGUGGACGAGGCUUCCACAAGGCUUCAAGAAUUCUCCAACCCUUUUGGGGUUGCAUUGGCCUCGGACCUGUCUAGCUUCCCCACCAGUCCGCGCAGAGUCUUGAUGCAGUACGUGGAUGAUCUUCUUUUGGCCUGUUCAGACGAGAGCACGUGUAUGGAGGCCACCAAGGACUUGUUAAAUCACCUGGCUGAAGCAGGAUACCGAGUAUCUAAGAAAAGGCCCAGAUAUGUCAACCCACCGUGAAAUACCUUGGAUUUGAUAUAUCCCAUCAGCGACGGACCCUAAGGGAAGAAAGGAAGCAAGCCAUCAUCCAGAUUCCAGAGCCAAAGAAUCGCAGGGAACUUCGCGGCUUUCUGGGCUCAGCAGGAUUCUGUAGAAUAUGGAUACCAGACUACAGCACAAUUGCCAAGCCUCUGCAUGAGUCAACCAGAGGAACUGAAAAGGACCCCUUUGUGUGGGGAGAAGAGCAACAGCAUGCCUUCAAGGAUCUGAAAAGGCAUUGCAGCAAGCACCAGCGCUGGGCAUCCCAAAUCCUGAGAAGCCUUUCUCCCUAUUUGUGGAUGAAGACCAGGGAACAGCAAAGGGAGUGCUAUGCCAAAAAUUGGGAAGCUGGCAGCAGCCCGUGGCAUACCUAUCUGAGCGCCUGACGCCUACAGAACAAGGUUUACCGCCAUGCAUGAGAGCAGUAGUGGCAGUAGCCACCCUACUGCACAAAGCAGACAAAUUUACUUUUGGCCAAGACACUGUUUGUGUGACCCCGCAUGCAGUCCCAGCUCUGCUUGACAUGAAGGGUACCUAUUUCCUCUCCCAAGCAAAAAUGAGAAAGUGCCAGAUGCUAUUGUUGCACCCGCGUUUGAAGUUCCAGGUUACCACCGCCCUCAACCCAGCUACCCUGUUGCCGGUAGGAGAAGGUGAGGAGCAGAUGCACGAUUGCAUUGAAGUGAUGGAUGAAGUAUAUUCCAGCAGACCUGACCUAAAAGAUGAGGCAAACCCCCACUGGCCUUCAUGGUUUGUAGAUGGAAGCAGCUUUGUUGAGACUGGACAGCGGAAGGCAGGCUAUGCAGUGGUUGCCCUGGAAGACCAGGUGAUCGAAGCAAAGUCACUCCCACCUGGAACAUCGGCCCAGCUGGCAGAGCUAACUGCGCUUACCAGAGCCCUGAGCCUGGCAAAGGGACAGAAGAUAAACAUUUAUACAGAUUCUAAGUAUGCAUUCCUGACUUUACAUGCCCAUGGAGCCUUAUGGAAAGAAAGAGGUUUGCUUACCUCCAGAGGAAGCCAGGUGGCCCACCCACAAGCCUUAUUGAACCUUCUGGAUGCUGUAUGGGAGCCCGAGGCAGUGGCAGUUAUCCAUUGUUAUGGACACAAGACUGGACCAGGGGAAGUGGCCAGAGGAAACCGAUUGGCAGACAGAGUAGCCAAGGAAGCAGCCCAAGAACUGGCCCCCGCCUCGGUUAUUGGAGCACUGGUCCCAGAAGAGAUUUUAAGCACUACUGACAAGCCAGCUUAUACGAAGCAGGAAAGGGACACUGCAGACGCUCAGGGGUUGACGUUGUCCAACGAAGGAUGGUACCUUACCCCUGAUGACAGGAUAUGGAUUCCAGAGUCCCUUUCUCGGCAGGUUACUCAGAGAUACCAUGAUUCAACCCACAUAGGACCAGAUGCUACAACCAAGCAGCUGGAAAAAUGCUUCUAUAUAGCCCACCUUUACCAACUGGCAGCCCAGAUCUCCAGGAAAUGCCUGCUGUGUCAAAAGAAUAAUCCCAGAGCCGGACCACUGGCUCCCCCAGGGAUUCAGCACAGUGGAACUGCACCUAUGGAAGAUCUUGUCGUGGACUUUACUGAAUUACCCCGUUGUGGACUGCACCGCUACCUGCUGGUAGCAGUGUGCACCUACACCGGAUGGGUUGAAGCAUGGCCCACAAAGACUGAAAAGGCACUUGAAGCAACCAGGUGCCUGCUUAGGGAAAUCAUCCCUCGCUAUGGACUGCCAAGGUCCAUAGGAUCUGACAAUGGACCAGCAUUUGUUCAUGCAGUCCUACAGGGACUGGCAAAAGCGCUCCAGAUCAACUGGAAGCUGCAUACUGCUUAUAGACCCCAGAGUUCUGGAAAAGUAGAGAGGAUGAACAGAACUCUAAAGAAUCAGCUGUCCAAGCUGACACAGGAGACCGGGU
This is a non-coding RNA of Podarcis lilfordi (Lilford's wall lizard), 8025 nucleotides long. Lineage: Eukaryota; Metazoa; Chordata; Lepidosauria; Squamata; Lacertidae. The record is from the annotation of a GenBank genome assembly.